This 403-nucleotide ribosomal RNA is filed under the name uncultured bacterium. RNAcentral's name for it is "bacterial SSU rRNA". It matches the Rfam family "Bacterial small subunit ribosomal RNA", at positions 355 to 756 of the family's 1533-position model. The record is from RNAcentral.
UAAGGAAUAUUGGUCAAUGGACGCAAGUCUGAACCAGCCAUGCCGCGUGAAGGAUGAAGGUCCUCUGGAUUGUAAACUUCUUUUAUCUGGGACGAAAACGGGAUUUUUAUCUCAAUUGACGGUACCAGAGGAAUAAGCACCGGCUAACUCCGUGCCAGCAGCCGCGGUAAUACGGAGGGUGCGAGCGUUAUCCGGAUUUACUGGGUUUAAAGGGUGCGUAGGUGGGCUUAUAAGUCAGUGGUGAAAUCUCCGAGCUUAACUUGGAAACUGCCGUUGUUACUAUAGGUCUUGAAUUAUCUGGAGGUAAGCGGAAUAUGUCAUGUAGCGGUGAAAUGCUUAGAUAUGACAUAGGACACCAAUUGCGAAGGCAGUUUACUACAUAUAAAUUGACGCUGAGGCACGA